GAAGUGCGAACCAAGCUGCGGUACAAACCGCGUGAGACUUGGAGCGGGUGCCCGCAAGGACACCCUGCA
Molecule: non-coding RNA, 69 nt
Filed under: unclassified sequences
Description: Transposase-2 RNA
Rfam family: Transposase-2 RNA
Source: Rfam by way of RNAcentral